CCUACGGGGGGCAGCAGUGGGGAAUAUUGGGCAAUGGAGGAAACUCUGAACCAGCAAUGCCGCGUGAAUGAAGAAGGUCUUCGGAUUGUAAAGUUCUUUAGUCAGGGAAGAAUAAAAUGACGGUACCUGAAGAAUAAGCUCCGCCUAACUAUGUGCCAGCAGCAGCGUUAAUACGUCGGGAGCAAGCAUUGUUCGGAAUGACUGGUCAUAAAGGGUGCGUAGGCGGUUAUACAAGUUAGAAGGGAAAUACCCAGGGCUUAACUCGGGUGCUGCUUCUACUACUGUAAGACUUGAGUGCAGUAGCGGUUGGUGGAAUGCCUGGUGUAGCGGUGGAAUGCGUAGAUAUUAGGAGGAACACCAGAGGCGAAGGCGGCUAACUGGACUGCAACUGACGUUGAGGCACGAAAGUGUGGGGAGCAAACAGGAUUAGAUACCCGAGUAGUC
This 444-nucleotide ribosomal RNA is filed under the name uncultured bacterium. Its description in RNAcentral is "partial 16S ribosomal RNA". It matches the Rfam family "Bacterial small subunit ribosomal RNA", at positions 338 to 795 of the family's 1533-position model. The record is from RNAcentral.